RNAcentral lists this ribosomal RNA (1107 nucleotides) under Microbacterium sp. HK8. Its description in RNAcentral is "bacterial SSU rRNA". It matches the Rfam family "Bacterial small subunit ribosomal RNA", at positions 53 to 1190 of the family's 1533-position model. The record is from RNAcentral. Lineage: Bacteria; Bacillati; Actinomycetota; Actinomycetes; Micrococcales; Microbacteriaceae.
CCAUGCAAGUCGACGAUGAAGCCCAGCUUGCUGGGUGGAUUAGUGGCGAACGGGUGAGUAACACGUGAGUAACCUGCCCUUGACUCUGGGAUAAGCGUUGGAAACGACGUCUAAUACCGGAUACGAGCUUCCACCGCAUGGUGAGUUGCUGGAAAGAAUUUUGGUCAAGGAUGGACUCGCGGCCUAUCAGCUUGUUGGUGAGGUAACGGCUCACCAAGGCGACGACGGGUAGCCGGCCUGAGAGGGUGACCGGCCACACUGGGACUGAGACACGGCCCAGACUCCUACGGGAGGCAGCAGUGGGGAAUAUUGCACAAUGGGCGAAAGCCUGAUGCAGCAACGCCGCGUGAGGGACGACGGCCUUCGGGUUGUAAACCUCUUUUAGCAGGGAAGAAGCGAAAGUGACGGUACCUGCAGAAAAAGCACCGGCUAACUACGUGCCAGCAGCCGCGGUAAUACGUAGGGUGCAAGCGUUGUCCGGAAUUAUUGGGCGUAAAGAGCUCGUAGGCGGUUUGUCGCGUCUGCUGUGAAAUCCCGAGGCUCAACCUCGGGUCUGCAGUGGGUACGGGCAGACUAGAGUGCGGUAGGGGAGAUUGGAAUUCCUGGUGUAGCGGUGGAAUGCGCAGAUAUCAGGAGGAACACCGAUGGCGAAGGCAGAUCUCUGGGCCGCUACUGACGCUGAGGAGCGAAAGGGUGGGGAGCAAACAGGCUUAGAUACCCUGGUAGUCCACCCCGUAAACGUUGGGCGCUAGAUGUGGGGACCAUUCCACGGUUUCCGUGUCGUAGCUAACGCAUUAAGCGCCCCGCCUGGGGAGUACGGCCGCAAGGCUAAAACUCAAGGAAUUGACAGGGGCCCGCACAAGCGGCGGAGCAUGCGGAUUAAUUUCGAUGCACGCGAAGACCUUACCAGGCUUGACAUAUACGAGAACGGCCAGGAAAUGGUCACUCUUUGGACACUCGUAAACAGUGUUGCAUGAUGUCGUCAGCUCGUGUCGUGGAUGUCGGUAGGUCCGCAACGAGCGCAACAUCGUCCUAGUGCAGCACGUCAUGCUGACCUCUAUGCAAUCUGCUGGCUCACUCGAGUAGUUGGACGAGCUCUAGUCGAUG